GUUUUAAAGUAAGCUAUUCUAAUAUUUCUCAGCGAAAGAUUAAUUUAUCCCCUUGUAUGUCAACCCUGAGCUCUUUUUGCUAUUCCUAAGCAAAAUCUAGUCUGAAAAGGCAGCAUAGAGAUCCAAAGAACGCACUGACAAAGGAUCUCACCCGCAAGACCGCAGUAACACAGUCCCUGGAACAGCUCCGCUCGAGGCCACCCCGGUGGAGUGAGCAGAUUCGUGCGGUCCUGAAACGGCUCCUGAAUACAAGACUAACAACCCAAGAGGUGCUGGUCCAGGCCCCAGACAUACGGAGAAGAAUGAAGCAUCAUCCCUGCCCUGAAGGGUUUCACAGCCUGCUGGUGGGGAAGACGUGUGGAAAGAUACAUAAUAACAGCGGAUAUCACAGGAGCACCGGUCAGAUGCUGGGUGUUUGCCGGACAAGCGAGCCAGAGGAACACGAAGGCCCUGCCAUCAAGGAGCGUGCCAGACCUUGGGGCCCCUAGACCAGGAGUCCUUCAGAGGGGCCUGCCACGCUCCUCACGUUUCAAAAUGAUUUUCCACCUUGAACAUUACACUGUCUGUCAAGUUCAAAGAGCCUUCGUGUUUUGUUUGAAACAGGGUCUCGCUGUGUCACCCA
Molecule: non-coding RNA, 622 nt
Organism: Macaca mulatta (Rhesus monkey)
Lineage: Eukaryota; Metazoa; Chordata; Mammalia; Primates; Cercopithecidae
Source: RefSeq, a predicted model, not a curated record